This 20779-nucleotide long non-coding RNA is filed under the name Phaseolus vulgaris (common bean). RNAcentral's name for it is "long non-coding RNA (PVUL_LNC001867)". The record is from RNAcentral. Lineage: Eukaryota; Viridiplantae; Streptophyta; Magnoliopsida; Fabales; Fabaceae.
AUGAGUGCCAUCAUCCCAAGUCAAAGAAUAAGAAACCAAGGUUGCAUUAAUGGUUCCUUGAAUCCUAAGGGUGAAGGACAGGCUCUCACCCACAGAUGUGAAGGUCAAAACAUUUGGCACUACUUGGAUGUUUAAAGAAGAUGGAUUUCCAGAUAUUGUUGCCCUAUAUGUGGAUCUAGCUAAUUCAACAUUAGUAAUAGUUCUACCAAAAGUGACAUCGUUGUUCUUUGAGAGAGCGGUUGAUAGAGCAAAAGAUGGGAGGUUAAAGUUGAAAACAGAUACUCUUUUGGCUGAUGCACAAGUGCUGUUAUCUCUCGUAAUUUUUCGCAACCUUACAAUAUUAUAAGCUUGUCCACACAAAAAAUUAAUAUAAUCAUUCGGACCAAGAUCAUAAACUAGUCCAGGAUUUACUGCCUUCAAAGGAUUGAUUUGCCCCGCACCGUAGGCAAAUUCAGCAUCUGAAUUAAGUGCAGGAUUCAUAGGAGUAGCUGUAAAUGAUAAACCAAUAAAUUUGGUCGUAAGCAUAUAUAUACUGGUCAUUAAGAUAUACCACAAAAUAAUUGAACUAAAUCUAGUUUUUUUGAACACAAGUGUACUUUAGGUAGUAAUGAAAAAAUAUUACUAAAAAAAAAUUAAAUAAAAAUCAAUUUUAAAAAUAAAAAAUAAUUAAUUAUAAUAUUAACAAAAUUAAAUACUUGGUAUUUUGGAGAUUAAAAAAAUUAUUAAUAUCUAAAUUAGUUUAUUUUUUUACCUUAUUUGAGAGAAACUAAUAAUUAAUUUUUUUUAUAAGAAUGAGACCACUAAAGUGGUUUAUAUUUUGUUUUUUUCUUGCUGAUAAAAAAAAUCAAUAAUAAUUUUACUUAAAAUAAAAAAACAGUAAAACAUUAAAAGUGAUGUAGAAAAAAAAAACAACGAACUGUGCACCAGGACAAAAAUAACAACAUAAAAAAAAUACUUUAACAGUAAAAAAAAUUAUUUAAUAAUUAUGUUAUAAUAAUAUGACUUAAUGAUAGAUAGACUUGAAUAAAAUUGUUAUCUUAUGAAGUUUUCUGUAAAUUGUUUAUAUAAAAGAGUUCAGAAACAAUUCUUGAUUAAAUGUUUACAUCGUAGUCUCUUUUUUUCGUACAAACUAGUCGCUUAAUUUUUAUUUAAGGAUAUGAGUUACUCAUUAUCUCUCACAACAAAAAUAAAAGUUCCAAAGUUUCAUCUAUAUUAUGUGUGAGAAAGAAUUGGUCUUUUUAAAUUAACCAUGAAGGAUUAUUGAAUUGAGAGAUAAGAAAAGGGCAUAAAAUGAGUUUAGCAUGCAUGGAUGGUAAGGAGACCAUUACCAGUUGUCAUCAAUGCAGAUUUAAGUGCAGCAGGAGACAAUCCGAGAUUAAAUGAUUUGACGUAAACCGCUGCUGCAGUAACAUGAGGGCAUGCCAUUGAAGUUCCAGAUUCUAUAUUGAAAUACGAUAUUUUACUAUCUCCUUUAAUUGUAGAAAUAGGAGAACGUGGAGACCAUGCAACCAAAAUGUUAACUCCUGGAGCUGCUAUAUCAGGCUACACCAUCAAGAGAUAACUUAUAUAUAAGCAAAUGACCUUGAAUUGGUUGGAUUGAUUGUAUAUUGUACCAUGAAGUUACCUUAAGAAUGUUUCGAGUAAUCGUAUUUGGACCUCUUGAUGAGAAACGAGGAAUGUAAGGGGCUGCUGAGUCUAUUCCUUCGUAACUCUUAGAUAUGAUAGCUGUUGAAUUACUACAAAUCGAUGACAUGACAUAUAAAUAAGUUAAUUCAAGAUUAGUUCCCCAAAAUUUUAUAGAUAUGUUGAUGAAUAGUUUUGUACCUUGUUGUCUUUAAAUAAUUAUAUACGGACUUCCCAUCACUUGAGCUAAUGUAAAGUGAUGGCAAGUACAUCUGGGCCAAUUGAAGACACGAAUGCAGUUCUGAAUAUAACACCAGCAGCCCCAGAAGCAAAUUCCACAAAUUUAGGAGAAGCAUAGCCAUCACACAAAACAAUUUUCCCACUCACCAAAGCUCCAUUCAAAGAAUUGUAAGUGCAGAACCUAAGCAAUCCUAAGGUUAGAGUGGAGUUUUGAAUUGUAAUAGAAAGAUUAGAAACAAAUUACCAAAUAAUAAGUCUAAAUUACUUUGCUAAGUUCUUUAAUUAUAUAUAAAAUUCAAUUUCUCUCUCGACUAAUUUAAAAAAAAUAUAAUUAAUCACUAUAUUAAUUAAAUUAAUUAUUAUUUUAAAGACUAAAUUUUUUUUUAUUAAUAUAUAAAAUAAAUUCUAUUAUUAAUAAAUAAUUUUUAAAUUUGUUAUGUAGCAAUCAAUAACUAGAUUCUAAUAUACUAAUAAUAUACCAAAAGAAUUAGUAAAGGUUUAUAAUUUUAUUAUAUUUAAAAAUCAAAACUUGAUUUUCUUAAAAUUAGUUACAAUUUAUUAUAGUGACCUUUUCUAUAAUGUGUAAUUUUUAUUUUUUAAAAUAAAUUAUAAUAUUAUUAUAGUGAUAAAUGUUUAAAAAAAUCUUCACUGUUUUGUAAAAUUAAAAUUUUUAAUCGUUCCAAAGUGUUAACCAUUAAUUCUUCUUUAACGGUGUCAACUUGAUUAGAUGAAAAGAAACAUUGGAUAUUUAAAGAAAAUUUGAACCCUUUCAAAUAGAGAAAGUAUAUAAAAAAUUAUAAAUAAAUAAAUAAAUAAAGUAAGAAAAAGAAUUAAAAGACAGAUAUUGGUAAAUGUUGGUACCUGGAACUGGAACUAUUAAAUCUUUUGUUACUUUUAUAAUAUUUUAAAAGAUAAGUAAAAGAAUUUAAAGGGAUAAUUACCCGGAUGGUCUGGCCAUUGCCCAGUUUGAGAUCACCGAAAAACUUUCUGUCUAUAGUGCUGGCAGCCACAGAAAUGAACCAGGGUGCAACAUUCGUCAUUGUGGAAGGAUUUGGACCCAAAUUGCCUACAGAUUUAGAAGUUAAUAUACCACUCCUCAUUGCAUGGAAAGAUCCUAUUGCAAAUACAUCUUCAAAAUAUUUCAGCUGUUGGACAACUUCUUUUUCUCCCACUGAAAUAGAAAUAAUAUCAACACCAUCCGCAAUGGCUGCAUCAACUCCUGCAAGAAUGUCAACGCCGUUACAACCCGAUUCCCAACAAACUUUAUACACAGCAAUGCGUGCUGAUGGAACUCCUCCUCUUGUUGUUCCUGAGCCAAGUCCAAACAGAUUUGCAUUGGGAACAAGGUUUCCAGCAGCAAUUGAUGCACAGUGAGACCCGUGACCAGUAGUAUCAGCUGGAGAUAUGAUGUCCUCUGGCUUGAAGUUACUCUCAAUGUGAAAAUAUUUUGCUCCAAUUACUUUGCUACAAACAAAUCAUGAAGCAAGCAUUCAUAGAUAAGUAAUUUAUUUGUUACCUUUAUCUUUUAAUAAUUAUUACUUUGAAAAUUUUAUUACUUAAGUUUAGGUGUAUAUGUUUGGAUCCACGUUGAUUUACUAUUGAGGUGGAUGUUCGUUCAAAUUUGACAUUUGACAUGAAAAAAUUUAAAAUGUGAGUUUAAAAAUUGAAACCAGGCAUGCUGUUUAUGUAUGUGUUGUAGCAUGUUAUAAGAAACAUUACUUACUUAUUGCAAGUGAAGUUAUUGCAUGUUCCCUUCCAUUUCUGUGGUGGUGGACCAAAGCCUCUAUCAGUAAAGCUAUUGGCAUUAGGAAUCCAAAUUCCACUAUCGAUUACUCCAACAAUUGUGUUACCUUCCACCGUUGCUGCUCUUGGGACAUUUUCGGGGAAGUUAAGGAAGUUCCAGGACCUUGAUGUUUCAACAUUGUAGACUCUAUCUGGAAUAACAGACACCACACCAUCCAUUCCUGUUUUCGCAAAAUCAUAAUCAAUCAUAUUAAUGUAGGAAUGUGACAGAAACCAAAAAUAUAUUUAUGAAUAAAGCAAAAAACUGAUGAAAAUGUGGUAUGAGCUAAUAGAUGAAAAUACCUUUCAUUCUUUCUGAUUCUUUUUUGGUUAGCCUCGCCACAAAUCCAUUGAAACUCUUGUAGCGAUGCAACAACGUAUUUGAUGCAAAUUUGCUGGAUGGAUAUAUAUGUCAUAUGGAAUUUUAAUCAAGUUAGUUUUUUAAAAAUUUCAUAUUCUUGAUUGAUAAUAGGUUUAAAAUAAAAUAAUUGUUCUCUUUUUAGACAAUAUUAAACUAAGCCUCAAUUUUGAGUGAAAAUCUGUUAGAUGAGUUGAAUAGAAACAAUUAAGGGUUAUCAACCUGCCCAGAACACUUUGAACCAUACUGGUGUGAAAUGAAUCUGUGAUUUCCAUAUCCUUUGGAUAUUCUCCCAUGUAGACUAUAUAAGUCUGUAGCAUGAGCAAGAUAAAUUAAAAAAAUAAAAAAGAAUUUUAAACUAAGUGAAUUUCACGUGGAUGCUUAAACAUUGAAAAUAUUAUGUUCAACCCUUGCAUAAAAUAAUUUUUAGGUUAAUUUGUUCAUUUUGAAUAUAAUCCAAAUUCUUCUUAACUUAAAUGUAAUCCAAUAUUUUCUUUAAAAAAAUAAGCAUUAUUAGAUUUAUUUAAAAAAAUCAUAAAAGGAUAAAAACCUAAGAGUAAUUUAUGGAAAGAUAUAACUUCUCACAUAUAGAAGGAAUGUGGAAGUUAGUUGAGGAAAAAAUAAAGUACAAAGUGAAGUAUUAUAAAAGAGAUGCCUCAAGUACAUUUUUAUAAAGUAUAUUUUUUGUAAGACAAACAAUUUCAAUUGCUAGAACAAUAUUAGAUAUAUAUUAUUUACCUUUCGAUCAUCUUUAGAAAAUGAGGGAGUCAACAGCAGAAUGCAUGCAAGAAUUUGAAGAAGAUGUGACAACCCUAAAGACUUCAUCUUUUGGUGACAGUAAUCUUGAUUAAAUGAUGAAUGCGUUUUUAAGCUCUUUCAACCUGUGAAUAAAUUUAAUUUAUUAUGUUAAGUAUAUAUUUGAAACUCAUAGCAACACAAUAAAAUUUAUGUUAAAUAUAUAUUUGAAACUCAUAGUAACACAAUAAAAUUUUAAAAUUUGAUAUUGGAAAUGAUAAAUAGAAGUAUAUAUACAUAAUAAAUUGAGAAUGAAAACAAUAAGAAAGUAGAUUAGCACAACAAAGUGGAUUGGGUAGCUUUACAAUGUACUUAAAAGGUUGGUUUUAUGAUUUUUUAUUUAUUUGUAGAUUACAGUUAUUUUAUCAUUUCUGGUUGUUGAAGUUGAAUUGGAUAGAUUGAUGAAUGUGUGCAAUCUAUUAUUUUCUUUGAAAAAAUGUUAAGCAUUUUAGGCAUAACAUUUUAAGCUACUGUAAAUUUUGUCCAUGAAAAUUUCACCAUGGUAUGAUAAAUGAACAAUAAUAAUGUCAACUAAGUCUACUUCCUACUAUAUUAUGUUAUGGGUUGUAUUAAUUAUGUUCAAAUUGAAAACUGUACGAAGAGUGAUAUAUGUAUUCUUUUAGCACCAAUAAACUUAUUUAAUUUUUCUAUCAACAAAUAAUAAAUAAAAUUAAAACGAAAUGUUUAAAAAAUACUUCAAUUUUUAUAUAAAAAAUUCAAAUAAUAAUGAACUAGUUGGUUGAGAAAUAUUAUAAUAUAAUGGUUGAAGUAUUUAAUACUCUAAAUUUAUUUAUUAUCUAUAAAAAAAUAUUACUAAAAUUAUAUGUUUAAAAUUAAAUUUAAUACAUUUACAAUUUUUAACGGUCACAUAUUAAGUUUUUUUUCUUUAUUUCUUGCUUUUGUAAUUAUCUUCAACUUACUCCCCCAACACCAAAAUGACAAUCAUUUACCUUUUGAAAUUCAUCUAUUUCCAAAUCAUUGCAUUGUGAAAGUUAUAUAGUGAAAGUUAUAGGAUGAGUACAAGUUAAUCAUUAUUUUCAAAGAAAAGUGUGUCAUUGGCAAUGUUAACUUGAUGUGUCGUGAUCAAGAUAGCUAUACACAAGAGAGUAUGUUGUUUUUAUGUGACUGAGAGAAGAAGUUGUGUAGGGAACCACUUGUAACAAAGUAAUAAAAUAAUUAGAAAUAAACCAAUAAAAGUAAUUAGGGAUGAUGUUGAUCCUUAAUAUUUACUCUUAGUUAUUAUAUAUAAUUAAAAAUUCAUAACAAGAUAAUUAUGUGAAAAGUUAAAUAACUUUGUAUUAAUUAAUUUAAAUACUGAAUAAAUAAUAAAUAUAAAAAAGUAUGAUACAUUCUACUGUUUUAGGACACUUUUUCAAACCAAAGCACUGACUGAACCUAAUUGCAUGGUUUGAAAAAAAAAAUCAAAAACAAUUUGAUAAAGUUUGGUUUAUGAUGGUUUAUAAUUCAGUGGGUUUUCAGUUUUUAAAUUAAGGUAUAAAUGAAACAAUAGAAAUAGAGCAUUGUUAUAUAUAUAAGCAGAGAACAGAAGCAAUAGAAAAAUAUUAGGAGAAAGAGUUAUAAAUGAAUAAUGGAAAUAGGAAUAGAGGAGAGACAUACUCAGCUUGGUCGACCAUAUAUUGAGUAAAGGAUGUCAAUACACACACUCUAUCUUACCUUUUAUAGCCAAUACACACUCUAUCUUACCUUUUAUAGCCACUAGAUUUCGUGGCUUCAUGGUCCACGUUUUGCGCAUUUAAUUUUCAAAUUUGAUUUUCAAUGAGAAAAAUUAAUUUGACAUUUAAUUUUCAAUGAGAAAAAUUGAUUUGAUUGAAUUUUUAAAAGAAAAACUAUGCACUCCAAUAGAAAUUGGAGUUUAUCAUAGUAAUGUAACUAUACUUCUCUAUAUUAAGCCUUUUUUGUUAAAAUAUUCAUCUAGAAGAUAAUAUUUUCACAGUGUAGUGUAUUGAAUAUUUUUUCUAAAAUAUGUUUAAUUAAUUAAUAUGCUUUAAAAAAAAUACUGCAUUUGGAAUUAUAUUUUCUAUUAGAGUUGGAGUAAUUUAUGUCAACAUGUAAACAAGAAUUAUUCUGCGCAACUCAAAUUUUAAUUAGAAAUAGCACUUAAUUAAAACAUUGAGAAUCCGAAUUUAAGGCUUUUUAAGAAUUUAACUAUCAAAUAUUUGUAAUAAUAAAAUUUGGUUUAAUAUUUAGUUAUUUUAAAUUUUAAGAAGUUGAUUUUAUUUAAAUAUUUUAUAAAUUUGUUUUAAAUAAGGUUUUUUAUCCUCACACAUCUCAUUCAUAGACACACAUCUCCUUCAUCCACACUCUUUUUCUUCUUCUUUUUCUUUCAUAUUCAUCUACUUUAUCCAUGUUCAUCUCUUUCAUCCACUAAAUUUUUUUAUUUUUUUUAUACUUUAUUUUGUUGAAGAUUAAUGUUUUAUAAAAAAAUUAAAAUAUUAUCAUAUGUUGAACAAAUCGACUCAAUUUAAAUUAAUAUUAAAAUUAAAAAAUAUUAAAUUAAAUAAAUUUUAAAAUAAAAAACAUUAGUAUUUACUUGAUCCACAUUAAAUUGUUUUAACUAAAAUAUCAAUUUAUAAUUUAAUACUAAAUUAACAUCAGUUUAAAUUUAGUCAAACCUAGAAUUGGUCUUAAAAAGCUAAUAUUAAAUAUCAGUAUUUAUUUGUUAGUAAUGCUUAACCAACACUAAAUAUCAAUUUUGUUAUAGUACCGUUAAAUUUCUAUUUUCUUGUUGUAGUGCAUGAAUUUAAAUGAAAUAGUAAAUAUAUUCGCAACUUACUACUUAAUGUAACAUUGAAAAGGGAUUGGGAAAUGGACUAAAAUCAUACUGUAAAGAUGAAAUUUGCAAAUUACAUACUUUUUAAAAGAUUAGAACACCUCAAUUAUUUCCAUUUUGUUAUAAAUAUAUACUGCUGAUAAAAAAAUAUAACUCAAUCAUACUACUUUAUAAAUUAUUAGUUGGUUUAUCAAAUCUUUUUAGAGUUUGGAGUUAUUUUACAAAGUUUUACCAAGGAAAAUUAUACUAUUUUAAACAUGUCAAUUAAAGUAAUUUGGACACAAAUUAAACUAAUGGAAAGUUUGUUAUAAAAAGUACUAAAAAAUCAUUUAAAUGUAUCCUUUAUUAAAGAAUAUUACGCCUAAUAUUGUAUAAACAUAAUGAGUUUUUUUAUUUAUUUAAAAAUACAAACAAUGAAGAACCACAAACUGAUAGGUCCCUCAAAACAAGGAUAAGAUGAGAGAAUGUCUGGGUAGAGCACGAGGAGGAGUAAACACUUAUCCAAACCAACUUUAUCAUUGUUUUUUCUUUUGGCCUUUUAUUUAGAAUUUUCUUCAAGAAAAAAACUUAUUUUAUUGGGAAAAUAUCUACCUCUAAUUCUAAUUAAGCUGGAAAUAUAAUUAAGCUUCACUUUUACUCUUUUAUUUUUAUUACUUUUAAAAGUAAAGGAAAAUGUUUUACCUUUAAUUAAAGAUUCAAUUAAUUGCAUUUCAUCUAUAUCACACCUAAUUAUAAUCUAAUCACUUUUUUAACAUCUGAAAUGUACAUGAAACAGUUAAUUUUCUUUUUUCCAAGAGAAAGUGUCCCAUCUAUCUCACAACAUAUAAAUUUCAAUCUCAAAAUGGAUAUAAUUAAAAAAAAAAUUAAUACUUAGAUAUGUAAUCUAAUAUUUAGUUUACAUUAAACAUCUAAGAAUCUAUUGAUCAAAAGAGUCUAUUAAAAUAAUAUAAAUAAUUUAAUUUUUUUUUAUAAAUAUUGUCCUUUUAUUGUAUAUUUAUCUCACAUUUAUUCGUUUAUUUAUUAGCGAUUAAAUAAAAGAGUCUUGAGAAUCUACAUAGCACCACAACCCGUCCAGUUGUCAUUUCAAAAAAGAAUUUUUCUCCCUUUUCCAAGCUUUCAGUAAAGUAGUUUUCAAACUUCCCUCCCCAAUUUUUCGACUUCCAGCUCUCCUUCAAAUCUUUCCACCAAAGAGAGACUUUGUUGUUAUUGUCCCUCUGCUCUUUCAAGCUUCUCCAACCUCCAUACUUAAACUCCAUGAUCUCCAACCACAACCCACGCUUGUCCAAACUCAAACGCCAAAUUCACUUUUCCUAUAAGGCCAUGUUUCAUGAGAGGACGAAACAUAUUGAAAUUGAUUGUCAUUUCGUUCAUACUAAACUUUAAGAAGGUCUCAUUUAUUUAAUCCCAAAUUCUUCCUCUAAUGGUUGAUAUCUUGACCAAACCUCUGCAUCCUCGGUCAUUUCGUGACAACUUAUCCAAGUUGAACAUGAAAGAUAUACAUGUUUCAGCUUGUGGGGUGUUAUUAGAUGAUAAAUAUGAUCUCAUAAUAUUUUAGAUUUUCAAUUAUAACUACUUUUUCAGUAGUUUUGGAACCUUGUGUGGUUGUAUACUCUUGGCAAUAAUUUUGCAACAGUUUUUCUCUUUCUUCAUGUGCUAGAUGUUACCUAUACUUUUUGUACGAGUGCGAGUUUGUAUAAGGGUUGUGAUAUCUCUAAAGUAUCUCGGUUUAUUUAAUUUUAUUCUUUGCUGAUAAAAAAAACUGUUCUAUCAAUUAUAAUUGUUCUAUUGUAACGGUUCAAUUAGUUCAAUCUCUUGUAGGUAUGAAAAAUAUAAAAUUAAUGUGUAUACUGGUUGAAAAAUAUAAAAUAUGUGAUAUUCAAAAUUGGUAGUUGGGGUGAUUUUAAAUAUAACAUGUGUUAAAUUCGAUAUUAUAUUCUGUUUUAAUUUUUGUGAAUUUUGUUCUUUACGAUGGCAUUGCUCAAGCAAUGGAUUACCACUGAAGAAGAUUUAGAAACAAACAAAUUUGAAAAAGAAGUUUUGGAGACAAAGAUAAAGUUGAAUACUGAGUGACAAAGCCCAUCGUUUAUGAAGGCCAGAGUAUAGGACACACCAGUCACGUUGAAACCCACGUAUACAUGCAUAAUGUUUAUGAGAAAAACAAAUCCAUCUUUUAUAAAUCAUUAUAUGUGUCAAACUUUUCAAUAUUUUCUAUAUUACACUAAUCCCUUAUUGGUUUGAAAAAUAUUACAGCAUGAAUUUCUAUAAAAUGAAUUGUUGUAAAUAUUAAAAAUAGAUUUUACAGAAUAUAUCUAAAUAAAAUUUUGUUUUGAUAAUAAUAAAUUAUAGCAAUGAUCAAUUAUGUAAUUAAUUAAAUUAACUUUCAAAAUUGUUUGUAAGAAAAGAAACACUAAAAAAAUAUUAAAUAAAAAAUAAUUUUAGAUAUUAAAAUAAUUAAUUAAUGUGUAAUUAAAUUAUAGAUAUUUUGUAAAAUAAAAAAGUUAUUGAUAUUCGAAAAAGUUUCUAUUAUUAAUAAAAAAUUAUAAAUUAAUUAUAAAUUAAUAUUUAAUUAUUAACUACCAAAAAUUUUAAUUACUUAUUAUUUUAUAUUUUAAAUUAAUAUUUAUUAGUCUUUUAAAAAUUAAUUUAAAAUUUAAAAUAUUAAAACGAUUAUUUAAAACUAUAUCAAUUUUAAUUACAAAGUUAAUUCACAUAAAGAGUAAUGAAUUGUUUGAUUUAAUCAAAACAUUUAGGUUUCAAAUCCGUACCAAUAGUAAAUAAAAAAAACAGUUCUACUUAAAUUGUUUACUUGGACCACAUAUAAAAAAAUUCACUCGAUGAAUUUCCACGCGUAAACUUUUUAUAAUAUUACUACUGCAAAUCUGCAUAUUUUAUUUAUAAUAUUAUCAUAAGUGUAUCUAUAUGUAUUCGCACUCUUAUAUAUUUGUAAUUUAUUUUAAUAAAUAUAAAUACAUAUAAGGAAACAUUUAAUAAUUAUAUAUUUUAAAUUUAUAAAUAACAUAUAAAAUUAUAUGUAAUAUGGUUUAUUUCAAUUUUAAUAUUAUACAUAAAUAUAGAUAAAUAAAUAAAAUGUCUCUAUUCCCGUUAUUUGUGUUUAGGAAACAAUUUUCUGUGAAAUUAAGUUUAGCCAUUACUAUAAAAUAAAUCACAGGAGGCAAAUUAUACUUAAGAUUGAAAUUUACCUUUCACGACACGUUUUUUGUCAUGAUUAAUUAUAUGUUGCAUUACUAAGAGGUGUUUCUCAAGCUUCAACCAAAAUUCUUAUUAAAGAAUGACACCUUGAAGGAGAAAAUGAAAAAUUUACGAAAAAUGUUGUUUGUAAAGAUAUUUUGUUAUCUCAAAAAUCAAGUAUUGUUAAUUUUAUUUAUGUUUAUAAAUAUAAGUAUAUGUGAAUAUUCUCCUUAUACUAUUUGUUAUUAUGUAUUAAAGGCAACAUAAUAUAUAAGGAUCCCUUUAUAGUUAAAUGAAGAUAUAAAUACAAAGCAUUCACACAUUUAUCUACACAAACAGAUAAUUACCAAAAUAUAUAUAUAUAUAUAUAUAUAUAUAUAUAUAUCACUAGUCUAUCUAUAUAUAAAGGGGAUUCUCCUUUCUAACUUUCCUUAAUUUUUUUUCAAUUUUAUCCCUAUAUCAAUAUUUGGUUUUAUUAAAUUAUUAUGGGCAUUACGUCAUUUUUUUAAAAUUUUUAUAUUUUCAUAUUUUAUUUUUUUCAAAAUUUUUAAGUUUAAAAUUUUUCAAUUUUUCAAACCCUAAAACAUUUUCUUAACACAUUAAAUUUUUCAAAAAUUUUAAAUUUUCAAAACUUUUAAAUUUUUCAAUUUUUCAUUCCCUAAAACCAUUUCGAAACCCUUCAAAUUUCAAAAUUUAAUGUUUCAAAAUUUUUAAAUUUUUAAAUUUUUAAAUUUUUAAAUUUUUAAAAAUUCAAAAUUUUUAAAUAUAUAAAGGGGAUUCCCCUCUUUAACUUCCCUCAAUUUUUUCCUAUUUUAUCCUCAUAUCAAUAUUUAAUUUCAUUUUAUUAUUAUGCGAUAUUUUCUAUUUUCUCAAAUUUUUUACAUUUUAAAAAAAAUUAAAUUUUCAAAUAAAGCUUUUCCGAAACACUUCAAAAUUUUCAAAGUUUUGAAUUUUGUUAAUUUUCAAAAAGAAAAUUCAAAAUUUUAAUAUUUUCAAAAAUUUUAAAUAUUUUUAAAUUUGAAACUAAACUGAAGGCUAUAUAACCCAUUAAACUUCGUUUUCUAUUUUCAUAUUCAAAAUAUCAGAAGUAGUAGUUUCGUUCCAAGAACCACGAAAUCAACUAGUUAGUACUGUUUUUCAAUGACUUCUGCCUAGUUAGUGCUCACAAAUUCGUAAGUAUGUAUAUAAUUAUUGUUUUUUUUUAUUUCUUAUAAUAAUUGGCAAAACCAAUCCAUGAACAAAGAUUCUCCAUUUUCUGUUUCGUCGAUAUUUUUUUUAUGUACUUACUUGUUGUCUAAUUAAUUAUUAUAUUUUUUGCUUUUUGUUUAUAAUAUCAUAUGAGCGAAUUUCUCAUUUAGUGAAGGAAUAUGUGAGGCUUUCCAAAGCUUUUUUUAAGAGAAAGUGUUCAAUUUUUGCUUUCCUUGAUUGCCAUCAACCCGACAAACCCGAACCCCUUAUCCACCACACUACAUUAUAUCUAAAACGUACUUCAAAUAAUUUUUUUUUUAUACUAUCUAUUGUAUAGUAAAGUCUACUUUUAUUGUAAUUACUUAAUAUAUCACUCUUUAUAUUAGAUUGUUGUUGUAGUUGUACUUAGUUUUUGUUAAACACAUUGGAAUGGUAUGUAACAGAGUUGACGCGAGUCUUGGGGUUGUUAGAUCAAACCUGCAUAAGCUAGAAUAAGAUGGAAGAAAGAUGCCCUGCUUGACAAAAGAAAGAACCAAGAAGCCAAAGGCAAAACCAAUGUUGCACCAAAAAGAAAAAGAUAGAAAGUGACAGUGAUGAAUUGCAACAGAGAGAGCGAAAGAGAAAGAUAUAUUUUCUAUAUUAUUAUGCUCAAUCGGUACAAGAGUGUAUGUAGGUGCUGGAAAGUAAAAAACAGAAACCCUAAAGAGAAAAAGCCCAAAAAUACAGGGGCCCAAUAAAAACAGAAUAUAGAUUCUUUAUCAGUAUGUUUAAAAAGAAACAAGGAUAACUACCUAUUUUGUUCUGUUAGCAGUUUUUCCGGUUGGGUUGUUUCGACAAUAUAUGCUUAUUAGAUUUCUGGUUUGGUUGUCUUUGAGUUUAUAGAUCUCCUGUGGUUGGAAAAUGUCCCCAAUGCAACACUCAGGCAAAAGAAUGCAUUCAUGGAUUCCUUGGAUCAAUUGAGAAAGAUAGUUGUAAUGUCUUUAUUGAUUGGGUGUAAAGUAAUCAAAUAAAACAAGUAAGUCUUUCCUUUGAAAUUGGUUAUAAGUUACUGUAGAAAUAAAAAAAAACAACAAAUAAAGUCUCGGUAGUGUAUAGUUUGCCUUGCCUAGGGAAAAUUUCUUGCUGAAGGUAUUGGGUAAAAACAUUUUUAAAAACUAUAAUCUUUGAGUUUUAUUUUAUCGACAAAUAUUUUAAACAAUGAAUAGUCUAUUACUAUAAUAAAGGGGAUUCCCCCUUAGCUAUUUUUCUUUCUCCAUAAAUUACUUCUCCAUUUUAAAAUUAAUAUUUUUUUUAAUUUUUAAAAUCAAUAUUUAGUAAGCUGGUUUAUGCACACGUUCUUGGUUGGUUCUUUUUUAUUAUUUUAUUUAAUUAUUUUGUAACUACUUGAAUGCAAUUUUUAAAUUUUCAAAUCCUAAAACUUUUUUUGAAAUAUGUGUCCAGAAAAUAAAAUAAGACUCUAACAUUAUACUUUUUAAAAAUGUUUUUACCCAAUAACAUCAAUCAGAAAAUUUACCAACGCAAUAAGAGAUGUACUUUAUUUGUCAUGUUUUUAGUUUUUACAUUCUCCUUUUAUAGAAAUAUAUUUAUAUGUUAAGAAAAUAAAUAUUUAGAAGUCUAUUUAUUUUUUAUUGAAAAAAUUGGUCUCAUAAGUAUUAAUCACUUAAAAAUAUAUAUUACUUAGAAGGAUGAUUAAUUACUCGCAUUGGUUAAGCCAAUUGACACCAAAGUAUAAUAAUUUUAUAUAAUGAUGAUGAUAAUGACUUUUAUUUAUUUAUUUAUUAUGUAUUAUAAAUUUUUAUAUUGUUAAUAUAAGUGUGCGAAUAAUGACAUUUUUUAUUCGAAUUUUAAUAUUAAACAUAAAUAUAUAUAAAUUAAAAAAUUAAAAAAAAAUGUAGAUACACAAGCGUGAGACUGCCUGUAUUCCCACUGGUAUAAUAUAAUGUGGAAAUGACUUUUGUCCUAUUUUGGGUUUUGUAAAUAAUGUUAGGUUUUCAUUUGCAGUACUUCAUAGCAGUAUUCUUCUUUUAUUAAUUCCUCAUAGUUUUUUAACUCAUAUUCUGUUUUUGAGUUUGAACUUCAAUGUGUCUACUUGAUAUAUUUUUGUAUAAAUUUUAAUUUAGUUAUAUAUAUGUAUAUCAUGUUAAUUGAUGAAUGUUAUAUCUAUUUAUUUGUUUUAUUUAUUGAAAAAAUACUUUAAAAAUAUAGAUAAAUAAAUAUAAUAUAUGUAAAUAAUUAUGGUUAAAAAAACACAAGAAUGAUUAAAUGGAAAGCCCUGAGAAACUAGUAACCCUGCAUAAAUGUUUCUUGUAGUGAAGGAAGAAAAUAUAAAGGUAAGUAAUCAAAUCAAAUCUUAAAUUAAAAAAAAAAUACAAGAUAAAGAUAUGCAAAAGUAUUUUAUAAGAUAUUUGAAAUUCACUUCCUAAGCUAAAAUGUUUUUCUUUACAUUGUUAUUCGAGUUUUACAAUUAUAAGAAUACUUUACUUUAAUUAAUAAUUAAAGAUAAGAUUAAAUUAUAUUAUGCAAGUAGUUUUAAAUCUUAUUUUAUAAAUUGGUUUUAUGAUGAGAUUGGGUUAGUUUUAAAUUUAGUAUUUUUAAAAUUUUAUUUUAUUAACCAUUAGAAAGAAAGUUUAGAUUAUAGUAUAUUGGUGAAGUAAAAGACGACUAAAGAAUGUCAUAAUAUAAAAGUAUAGAAAUUACAAUAGUUGAGAUACUUUAAUUAAAGAUGAUAUAAAAAUGUUUAAGUAAGAAAGUUAGGAGAAAGUAAAAAAAAAAUAAUAAUGUUUAAUCUAUAUCUUCUUCUAUAUAUAGGGGAUUUCCUCUUUAACUGUUUUUUUUUUACACAUUUAUUUUCCCAUCUUAUCUUUAUAAUAAUAUUUUAUUUUAUUAUUUUAAAAAUAUGUAAUAAGAGGUUUUUUGUCAUUUUAUUGUUAUCUUGGACAUUUCUAUCAUUUUGUUUUUUGGUACACUCUUAUUUUUUAUUUAUUUUAUAAUCUGAAAAUCAAACGUAACUCUUUUAACAACUUUUCACUUCUCUCUCUUUCAAAAACUUCUCAUUUUCCUUUCUAUAAAAAACUUCUCAUCUUCCUCUUUAUCAAAAGCUUCUCACUUCCCUAUCUAUCAACAACCCACCUCUCCCUCUCUUAAAUCAGUUAGAAUAUUAAUGUAUUUAAAGCUUUCUCCCUUCUCUCUGAUCCCCUUUUGUCUCUUUGAGAUACAGACUUCCAUUCUCAAACUUUUUUUUUCCUUUUCUCUAUCACACACAUAUAUAUAUAUAUACAUACUCUGAUCCUCAUUUUUUUUUCUAUUUUUUCUGGUUUUGUUUCCAUUGUUCCAUCCUCUUUACGCACAUUGCGUUUUUGUAUUGGUUUACAAUUGUUGUCAUCAAGGGCAUGAAGUUUGAUCCAUUGGUUGAAUUAAGACAAGUGGCUAUUUGUCUACCGUGCUCUCUUCUCCAAUUCCCCUCACUCACUUUGUUUUCUCACUCUCAAAUGAGUACAUUUCUCAAAUUCUUUUUCAUAAGACACUACAAUGUAAACCUAACCACAUUUUGUUUUAUGCAUUUUAGAUAUCCACAUGAUGUCGUUGCUUAUUUCUUCACUAUUUCCCCCUAAAUCCUUUUACUUCUUUUUUUAUUAAAGACUCAAAUGAUUGUUUUAUAAACAUUAAUCAUUCACCAUUUCUUUUGUGUCAUCAAAGAUAAUUUUUUUAAGCCUUUAAAACUAAAAAGAGAUAAAUGUUUUAUUAAGCUUAUUUACUUGUUUCUCUUUUUGUUUUCAAACUUAUUCGAUACGAAGGUGUAAAAGUCAUUAAUUCAGAAAGGUAAAGAAGACCACAGGAGGAAGUACAAAGAGAAAGAUGGAAACAACCGUAUUUUGUUUUUCUUAUUGACUCUUUUAUGUAAAAGAAAGAAGAGAUGGUUACUUGAAGAUGAUGUAUUUGUAUUCGUUCUAAUUAACAUUAAUGGUGACAUUAAAUUUAUUAAAAUAUUUUUUCUCAUUUGUAUAUUUAAUUGAUGGAUUUAAUUUUAAUAAAUCUUAUUCAAUUUUAUUAAAUUUUUAAUAUUAAACAUAAUUAUCUAUAAGUAAUAAAAUAAAAAAACUCACUAGUAUAUGUAAUUUUCUUAUAAUAUUCAUCUUUCAUAUACUAAAAUUAAAAAAUAUGUCUUAUAUAACAUAUGAGUUGGAUUGGAUUUGAGUUUAAUAUCGAAACUUAACCCUAAACUUUUAAACAAUGAUUUUUAAUUUGAUUAAAAUGAGUUUGAUCAAAACACUUAAAAUAUAAUAACCCACAAUAUUUGGAUUCAAUUAGAUUGAAUAAACUUUUUUUUUAAUAUUAAGUAAUCUUCUCUUUAAAAAAACACUCUACUUACUUGCUAAUUAAACUUCCUAUUUAUACUACACAAUUUUGGGCUUCUUUACUAUUUAUAUUUUUUAUUUAGUAAGUUCACACUUUAUAUUUUGACCUUUACUUUGAGUAUUCGUAUUGGCCUUGUCAAAUUGAUUUUAACUCUGUGUACGGGGUUUUAUAUUUGCAUUCUUCUGAUUAGACGUAUCUGUAAUCUGGUAGCCGUUAUGUCGGAAAUCUCAAAGUUCCUCACAGACUUUUGGUUUCUCCGCACCUUCACCAUUGAGUGACUUUGAAUAAUUUUGGCUGGUUGAACCAUCACUGUAAGAAAAUCAUAAAAUAGAAAUCAAUUUUUAGAAACCAAAAUAAUUAGUUACGGAACUAAAAUAAAGACAAAAAAAAUUAGUUUCUAAAUUNNNNNNNNNNNNNNNNNNNNNNNNNNNNNNNNNNNNNNNNNNNNNNNNNNNNNNNNNNNNNNNNNNNNNNNNNNNNNNNNNNNNNNNNNNNNNNNNNNNNUCUAAAUUGGUAUCUAAUUAGCAAUCAAGGUUUUAGAGACUAAAUUUAAAAACUAAAUAAUUGAUAUCUAAAACCUUAAUUGCUAAUUAGAUACCAAUUUAGAAACUAUUUAACAAUAAUAGAAAAUAAUAAAAAUUAAUUUAGAAACCAAUUCUUUUUUAAUUUUUAAAAUAGUCUCUAAUUUAGUUACUAUUGCAACUAAUUAUUUUAAUUUCUAAAAAUUAAUUUCUAUUUCAUGAUUUUUUUUAGUGCAUUCAAUGGUCUUAGAGAUGAAGAUUUUUCAAUUACCAAUUUUUGGUAUUUCCUAUAGUUGUUGCACGGAAAGUCUUUUGCAUUUAAUGCUAUUAUGAGUGAAGGGUUGUAUUCACGUGCAUGAUGAUUACAACUGACAUGGUUGAGGUGAAGAGUCUUUUGUUGUGUGUCGUUGGAUGGGUUUAAAUCCUGCGAUUCAUAAAUAAUGUCGUUUUGUGUGUCGGAGACGUUUGGCUUCCUAUAAAUAUAUAAAUAGUCAAUUAUUUUCAUGAAUGACCCACACGUGUUCCUUCUUUUGUCUAAUAGUCGAAAAGUUUCUAUUUAAAAGGUAUUAUGUCUUCCUACCUCUGUUUUUCGUGUUUGGAAGGGAUUCGACUUCAUUUGGGAGUGCUUCAAAGCAGAGAAUGAAGCUAAUCAAGGGGUUGUGAGUUCCACUAGUUUAUCAUUGAUUGAAGAUACUAUAUGGUAACAAACCAUAUAUGUAUUUUUGAGGUAUUCUCUUUCGCUCAACUAAAAGUUUAGUGAUAGGUAAUUUUAAAAUUUCUUCAGUUUUAGUUUGCUUUUCCUUUUUAAAUUCGUGUUUCAAUUUUUUUAAUUUGUAUGUACUCAAUUAAUAAUAAAUAGUUUUCUAUAGAUUAAUAAGGUGUAUAUUUUGUGGUUUGUGAAGAGGGUUUGUCUUUUGUUAGAUGAAUUGAAGUGACAUAAGAUUAAAUCAUUCUUAAAAUGAUUUAUAUUUAUUUAUUUUUUUUAUUGAUAAAAAAUAAUAUAUAUAAUAUUCUCCUUCCCAUUAAGCUCCCAAAGCAAAACAAAUGCAGAGCAAUAUGAAAGAAAAAUGGUAUUGUAGGCCUCAAAUGAUCAUAUAAAAUAUAGUCUGAUCGUAAACAAUAAAAAAAUUUGAUUACGUAAUCAUGAACUGAAAUUUUUCUGCUAUUUAUUGAUGUUUAUUAAAGUCAGUCCUAUCAAAAUGUUUUUUUAUAUUCCAUUUUUCCUAUUUAUUUUCUUUGAAAAUCACUGAUUUCUCUACUUGUGUUAGAUAGAGCUUAUUAACAAACAAUUCAAAUAAUGAAAAAAAAGAAACAAAAUACUUAUACAUAAUCAACAAUAAACAAAAAAUUCUUAUAAAUGAAAACUGUGAUCUUAUAAUAAAUUACACUAACAAUAGUUUUUCUUUGAAUUUGACUGUUGUAUUGAAGUAAGGUUCUUUUUCCCUUAUUCAAAUGUCAUAAAAAAAAAACUCAAUCAAUAUUAAAUUAUUUAAAUUCAAAAAAGUUUAGACUUACUUCAUUAGUCAUAAACUUUUCACACUCUAACCGCCUUUUUAUUAAUCCAUUUUUUAAAAUAAAUAUUAAUUAGUAAACGACGGUAAUAUUUAAAAUGUAUCUUGAAUUUCACCUACAUAUUAUUAGUCAAUAAAUCAAAAGAACAAAAUUAUAAACAUACUUUAGAGAAGUAGGAUUUAAAAGAAGAGUUAGAAAGGUAGUGGAUAGAUAUUUGGGUAUCUUAAGUUCUUUUUCAAGUGACAACUCCAACAUUAAGGUCUUUAAAUUAGCAUAUUAUUUAGUGACUCUAAUAGGAAUUUUGAUUGGGUUUUACUCAAGAUUAAUGGUUGGAGAUUGGACAGCCAAAUUAUACUACAGAAGUAGUAAAUGUAAACCUCAUUUUAUAAGUUAAUUUUGUGAUGUUAAACUAAACAUUAAUAAACUUAUUAAUAUGGAAUAAGACUUUAUCCUAACGAGAUAUCUAGACAUGCGUUGGAGAUGCUCAAUCUUUGACACAAAGGAAUAUAUUUAAGAUUUCACAUUUACUAGAAAUAAGAACAAAUUAAUAUAUAUGAAUGAGUACAAAUCUUACCUUACAAAAUGAUAAAAUCUUCUCUUUAAGUUGUGAUUACACUUACCACAACUCAAAAGAAUCUCAAUAAAUUAGAUACAUCUCAUGAACCUCCUUUCUUCUUUAGUUUUAAUUGAAUUGUGAUAAAAGUAUUUUAUAAGAGUUUAUUAUUUGGUUAUUACUAUAGUUGUCAUUAUCUGAAGGAUUAUGGAUGACUACAGUAUAGUGACAUUUAUAUUACUAAGAAAAAUAAGGUUUUAACAUAUCAAAUAGUAAAAACAAACAUUGUAGAACCGUUUUUUAAAAUAAAAUAUUAUAUUAUAAUAAAAUAAUAAUUUAUUUAAGUGUGAAAUGAUGGUUUAAAAUAUCAUUUACACAAUGUGAUCUCAUUUCAAUAACCAAUAAUAAUGAAUGUAUAUAAAAUAUAAUAACGACAUAUGAAGGAGCAGUAGAAAAUACUUUGGAUAAAAGUAAUUAUUAUCUUGAUUUUAUUCAUGGCUUACAUAGCACUUUAUCAUACAUUUGGUGGCUUACAACACACCUAGAAAAAAAGAAAGAAAAACAAACAACAAAUUAAUCUCACGUUGGUAACAGAGAAUUUAUGGAACAUAAACAACAAUGGGGCUCCUUGCCGAAUGCCAUCAUCCCAAGUCAAAGAAUAAGAAACCAUGUCUGUAUUAAUGGUUCCUCGAACCCUAAGUGUGAAGGACAACCUCUGACGCACAGAUGUGAAGGUCAAAACAUUUGACACUAUUUGGAUAAAGAAGAUGGAUAUCCAAAUACUAUUGCCCUAUGUACAGAUGGAUAUCCAAAUAAAGGUAAAUUUUUAAACUUAAUUUUAAAUAUGUUAAGCAUGUAACAAAAUCCAUCUAGUGUUUGCCAAUGUACAAAGGUUUUGUAUUCUGUUUUCUAUAUUAAUAUCCUUAGGUGGUAUAUUUUAAAUACAGAGUUUUUCUUAUAAAAUUGUAUAUCUUUGUUUCUCUCUAUGUUUGAUUUUAUUGGAAACAGAGAAAAUUUGGUAUAGUGUUAAAUAAUAAUUUACUGAAUUAUCAAAAAGUUAAAUAUGUUCACUCUUUUAAUACUUGACAUUCAUUCCAACAAAGUUAGACGAUAGUAUAGAUUUAUGACACCAUUAUUUUAAAUCCUUCUAUAUUUUAUCAAACCAAAUUUAUAUAAUAAAAAUAUUAUAUUUUUAACAGGUAAAAAAUCGUAGUAUAAUGACAUUUAUAUUACUAAGAAGGAUAGACGGUUUCUCAUUUUAAUAACCAAUGAUAAUGAAUGUAUGCAUACAAUAUAAUAACGAUAUCUAAAUUACUCAGAAAGAGCAGUAGAAAAUACUUUGGAUCAAGUAAUUAUUAUCUUGAUUUUAUUCUUGGCUUACAUAGCACUUUAUCACAAGUUCUGUGGCUUACAACACACCCAGAAUAUUUCACUAAACUUCAACAGGAAGAAAAAAAAAGAGAAACAAACAACAAAUUACACAAUCAUUACCAUUCGCCUUGGUAACAGAGAAUUUAUGAAACAUAAACAACAACAGGGCUCCUUGCCUGAUGAGUGCCAUCAUCCCAAGUCAAAGAAAAGAAACCAAGUUUGUAUUAAUGGUUCCUUGAAUCCUAAGGAUGAAGGGCAACCUCUGACCCACAGAUGUGAAGGUCAAAACAUUUGGCACUACUUGGAUGUUUAAAGAAGAUGGAUAUCCAGAUACUCUUGCCCUAUAUGUGGAUCUAGCUGAUCCAACAUUAGUGACAGUUCUACCAAAAGUGACAUGGUUGUAACUUGAGCGAGCGGUUGCCAGAGCAAAAGAUGGGAGGUUAAGGUUGAAAACAGAUCCUCUAUUUGCUGAUGUACAAGUGCUGCUAUCUCCCGUAAUU